GAUGAACGCUGGCGGCGUGCUUAACACAUGCAAGUCGAACGGAAAGGCCCAAGCUUGCUUGGGUACUCGAGUGGCGAACGGGUGAGUAACACGUGGGUGAUCUGCCCUGCACUUCGGGAUAAGCCUGGGAAACUGGGUCUAAUACCGGAUAGGACCACUUCUUGGAUGUUGUGGUGGAAAGUUUUUUCGGUGUGGGAUGAGCUCGCGGCCUAUCAGCUUGUUGGUGGGGUAAUGGCCUACCAAGGCGUCGACGGGUAGCCGGCCUGAGAGGGUGUACGGCCACAUUGGGACUGAGAUACGGCCCAGACUCCUACGGGAGGCAGCAGUGGGGAAUAUUGCACAAUGGGCGCAAGCCUGAUGCAGCGACGCCGCGGGGGGGAUGGCGGCCUUCGGGUUGUAAACUCCUUUCGCUAGGGACGAAGCGUUUUGUGACGGUACCUGGAGAAGAAGCACCGGCUAACUACGUG
Molecule: ribosomal RNA, 467 nt
Filed under: uncultured bacterium
Lineage: Bacteria
Description: partial 16S ribosomal RNA
Rfam family: Bacterial small subunit ribosomal RNA
Source: RNAcentral